GACGAACGCUGGCGGCGUGCCUAAUACAUGCAAGUUGAGCGCUGAAGGUUGGUACUUGUACCAACUGGAUGAGCAGCGCACGGGUGAGUAACGCGUGGGGAAUCUGCCUUCGAGCGGGGGACAACAUUUGGAAACGAAUGCUAAUACCGCAUAAAAACUUUAAACACAAGUUUUAAGUUUGAAAGAUGCAAUUGCAUCACUCAAAGAUGAUCCCGCGUUGUAUUAGCUAGUUGGUGAGGUAAAGGCUCACCAAGGCGAUGAUACAUAGCCGACCUGAGAGGGUGAUCGGCCACAUUGGGACUGAGACACGGCCCAAACUCCUACGGGAGGCAGCAGUAGGGAAUCUUCGGCAAUGGACGAAAGUCUGACCGAGCAACGCCGCGUGAGUGAAGAAGGGUUUCGGAUCGUAAAACUCUGUUGGUAGAGAAGAACGUUGGUGAGAGUGGAAAGCUCAUCAAGUGACGGUAACUACCCAGAAAGGGACGGCUAACUACGUG
This 497-nucleotide ribosomal RNA is filed under the name uncultured bacterium. RNAcentral describes it as "partial 16S ribosomal RNA". It matches the Rfam family "Bacterial small subunit ribosomal RNA", at positions 28 to 507 of the family's 1533-position model. The record is from RNAcentral.